UACGUAGGGUGCGAGCGUUAAUCGGAAUUACUGGGCGUAAAGCGUGCGCAGGCGGCGCCGCAAGUCAGGCGUGAAAUCCCCGAGCUUAACUUGGGAAUGGCGCUUGAAACUACGGUGCUGGAGUGUGGCAGAGGGAGGUGGAAUUCCACGUGUGGCGGUGAAAUGCGUAGAGAUGUGGAGGAACACCGAUGGCGAAGGCAGCCUCCUGGGCCAACACUGACGCUCAUGCACGAAAGCGUGGGGAGCAAACAGG
This 253-nucleotide ribosomal RNA is filed under the name uncultured bacterium. Its description in RNAcentral is "partial 16S ribosomal RNA". It matches the Rfam family "Bacterial small subunit ribosomal RNA", at positions 524 to 776 of the family's 1533-position model. The record is from RNAcentral.